This 492-nucleotide ribosomal RNA is filed under the name uncultured bacterium. RNAcentral describes it as "partial 16S ribosomal RNA". It matches the Rfam family "Bacterial small subunit ribosomal RNA", at positions 29 to 507 of the family's 1533-position model. The record is from RNAcentral.
AGUGAACGCUGGCGGUAGACCUAACACAUGCAAGUCGAACGGCAGCACAGUAAGAGCUUGCUCUUACGGGUGGCGAGUGGCGGACGGGUGAGGAAUACAUCGGAAUCUACUUUUUCGUGGGGGAUAACGUAGGGAAACUUACGCUAAUACCGCAUACGACCUACGGGUGAAAGCAGGGGAUCUUCGGACCUUGCGCGAUUGAAUGAGCCGAUGUCGGAUUAGCUAGUUGGCGGGGUAAAGGCCCACCAAGGCGACGAUCCGUAGCUGGUCUGAGAGGAUGAUCAGCCACUCUGGAACUGAGACACGGUCCAGACUCCUACGGGAGGCAGCAGUGGGGAAUAUUGGACAAUGGGCGCAAGCCUGAUCCAGCCAUACCGCGUGGGUGAAGAAGGCCUUCGGGUUGUAAAGCCCUUUUGUUGGGAAAGAAAAGCAGCAGGUUAAUACCCCGCUGUUCUGACGGUACCCAAAGAAUAAGCACCGGCUAACUUCGUG